RNAcentral lists this ribosomal RNA (245 nucleotides) under uncultured Solirubrobacter sp. Its description in RNAcentral is "partial 16S ribosomal RNA". It matches the Rfam family "Bacterial small subunit ribosomal RNA", at positions 524 to 768 of the family's 1533-position model. The record is from RNAcentral. Lineage: Bacteria; Bacillati; Actinomycetota; Thermoleophilia; Solirubrobacterales; Solirubrobacteraceae.
UACGUAGGGGGCAAGCGUUGUCCGGAUUUAUUGGGCGUAAAGAGCGCGUAGGCGGCCCGGUAAGUCCGCUGUGAAAGUCGAGGGCUCAACCCUCGGAUGCCGGUGGAUACUGCCAGGCUAGAGUCCGGAAGAGGCGAGUGGAAUUCCUGGUGUAGCGGUGGAAUGCGCAGAUAUCAGGAGGAACACCGAUGGCGAAGGCAGCUCGCUGGGACGGUACUGACGCUGAGGCGCGAAAGCGUGGGGAG